RNAcentral lists this ribosomal RNA (1468 nucleotides) under Haliotis fulgens (green abalone). RNAcentral's name for it is "bacterial LSU rRNA". It matches the Rfam family "Bacterial large subunit ribosomal RNA", at positions 1096 to 2287 of the family's 2925-position model. Lineage: Eukaryota; Metazoa; Mollusca; Gastropoda; Lepetellida; Haliotidae. The record is from RNAcentral.
GGAGGUUGGCUUAGAAGCAGCCAUCCUUUAAAGAUAGCGUAACAGCUCACUAGUCUAUAUUUAAGCUUUUCUGCGCCGACAAUGUAACGGGGCUAAAGUUAUGUGCCGAAGACAUGGGUUUAUAAGAUGUAUUUAUAUCUUAUAAGCGGUAGCAGAGCGUUCCAAUACCACUGAAGAUAAUUCGUGAGAGUUGUUGGAGGUUUUGGAAGUGAGAAUGCUGACAUGAGUAGCAGUAAAGAAUGUGAGAAUCAUUCUCGUCGUAAAUCUAAGGUUUCCUACGUAAAGAUGAUCUGCGUAGGGUUAGUCGGCCCCUAAGGUGAGGCUGAAAAGCGUAAUUGAUGGGAUAUUAGGUUAAUAUUCCUAAACCAGUGGAAAGUGACAAAUUUUGUAAAUAGUAAUUUCUUAUUGGAUUGAAAUUGCUGUGAAAAAGUUUCAGGAAAUAGCUUCCAUAUUAGACCGUACCGUAAACCGACACAGGUAGAUGAGUAGAGUAUACUAAGACGUAUGAGAUAAUGAUACUAAAGGAACUCGGCAAAUUGUGCUCAUAACUUUGGAAUAAGAGUAGUCUAUAUUUGGGCAACCAUUUAUAGAUGGCACAGAAGAGGGGGUGGCGACUGUUUAUCAAAAACACAGGACUCUGCUAACACGCAAGUGGAUGUAUAGGGUCUGACACCUGCCCAGUGCUGGAAGGUUAACAGGAGGGGUGCAAGCUCUAAAUCGAAGCCCCAGUGAACGGCGGCCGUAACUAUAACGGUCCUAAGGUAACGAAAUUCCUUGUCGGGUGAGUUCCGACCUGCAUGAAUGGUGUAACGACUUCCCCGCUGUCUCUAGUAUCAACUCAGCGAAAUUGAAUUCUCCGUUAAGAUGCGGAGUACUUGCGGCUGGACGAGCAGACCCUAUGCACCUUUACUAUAGCUUUAUAUUGGUGUUAGAAGUAUAUUGUGCAGGAUAGGUGGGAAGCUUUGAAGUUAGGGCGCUAGCCUUAAUGGAGCUAACCUUGAGAUACCACCCUUUAUACUUUUGAUACCUAACCAUAAUCCAUUAUCUGGAUUUGGGACACUGUAUGUGCAUAGAUUAGAAAAAACAAUUGGGUUAUUAGUACUAGUUAGCUGAACAUGUUACCAUGCUUACACAUCUAGCCUAUCAAUGUAAUAGUCUAUUACAACCCUAUAGGGAAAUUUAGUUUUGGGAUGAGUUUCCCACUUAGAUGCUUUCAGUGGUUAUCUCGUCCAUACGUAGCUAUCCAGCCAUGCCACUGGCGUGACAACUGGUGCACCAGAGGUAUGUCCAGCUCGGUCCUCUCGUACUUGAGCCAGGUUCCCUCAAAUUUCCAACACUUGCGGAGGAUAGAAACCGAACUGUCUCACGACGUUCUGAACCCAACUCACGUACCACUUUAAUCGGCGAACAGCCGAACCCUUGGGACCUUCUUCAGCCCCAGGAUGUGAUGAGUCGACAGCGAGGUGCC